AAGGCUGGUCCGUGUGGUCCUAUCCAACAGACGAGCUCCUGUAGCUCAAACUGCUGAAGACGUUCAUGAUGUUGAUGCUCCACAGGUCAGGACUGUUUUAGCAGCAGAAGGGGACCAAGCAAUAUUAUGCAGUGGCGUGUCAGGGUAGUACAGCACUCGUCCCAGGAGCAUGGGUUUGAGGAAGGCCCAGGCUACAGCGCCCCCUGUGGUGCUCACCAUGUCCAGAUCCUCCACUUCCUUCUGGUCCUGGAAAGACGGAUUUGUCUGGCUUAUGCUGGGAAGCUGCGCGAUUCCAAAGAGAGACAACAUGCCGCUGUUGCACAAGGCUCGGGAGACGGUGAUGAAGGUGGCCCUGCUGGAGAUGGUCGAACGUUUUCCUCUCACCAACUGCAGCACAAACACAAUUCAACAAAUGGAUAAAGAUCAUAAUAAAAAUAUCAAUAAUAAACUA
This is a long non-coding RNA of Silurus meridionalis, 451 nucleotides long. RefSeq lists it as uncharacterized. The record is from RefSeq and is a predicted model, not a curated record. Lineage: Eukaryota; Metazoa; Chordata; Actinopteri; Siluriformes; Siluridae. The transcript has 3 exons.